Non-coding RNA from Oryzias latipes (Japanese medaka), 516 nucleotides. Lineage: Eukaryota; Metazoa; Chordata; Actinopteri; Beloniformes; Adrianichthyidae. The record is from RefSeq and is a predicted model, not a curated record.
UGCUGUGCCAUAUUUACAAAAUGUAUGCGUCUGCACUAUGCAGACUGGCAGAAGUCCGGUAUGAGUGAAUCAGAGCAGAGUAAAUUAUAGCAGACCAGCAAAAACAUGCUUUAUUCCCCUUAAAAUGAUUCCAGUAUUAGACAUCAAUAAAAUUAUUAGUUUCUUUUUAAUUAGGUGGUGGUUUUAAAAUUGACUAUUCCUGUAUGUCUGUUGUUUUCUAUAAGGGCCGUUGUUAUGCAUGCCAUAACAAAAAAGGCAGGAAUACUGAGGCAGCUACGACGUGGAUGUCUACAACUUCUUAAUGAUGCAGGUCCCAAAGACGUCCCUGGUGUGAUGCAAAGGCUGUCCAGCAGGCUCACAGACAUCUCCUGUUAACUGAGAGAGAAGCAUUUAAAAUAGUUGUCCAUUUUGACCAUGAUUACAUUGACAACAUGCCCAGGCACACUGUCUGCUUCCCAUUUCUCAGUGCCUGCACGAUAACAGUGACUUUUCCACCUCAAGUCUUUUGAGGAGUUU